UGCAUUCACUACUGUAAGUCGCUCUGGAUAAGAGCGUCUGCCAAAAAAUGAUGUAAA
Molecule: non-coding RNA, 57 nt
Organism: Salmo salar (Atlantic salmon)
Lineage: Eukaryota; Metazoa; Chordata; Actinopteri; Salmoniformes; Salmonidae
Source: Rfam